UGCGCAGGUGGGCUUGUAAGUCAGUGGUGAAAUACUGCCGCUUAACGGUAGAACUGCCAUUGAUACUGCAAGUCUUGAGUAUGGUUGAGGUAGGCGGAAAUGUGUUGUGUAGCGGUGAAAUGCAUAGAUAUGACACAGAACUCCAAUUGCGAAGGCAGCUUACUAAGCCAUUACUGACGCUGAGGCACGAAAGCGUGGGGAGCGAACAGGAUUAGAUACCCUGGUAGUCC
RNAcentral lists this ribosomal RNA (230 nucleotides) under uncultured bacterium. RNAcentral's name for it is "partial 16S ribosomal RNA". It matches the Rfam family "Bacterial small subunit ribosomal RNA", at positions 568 to 796 of the family's 1533-position model. The record is from RNAcentral.